Podarcis lilfordi (Lilford's wall lizard) is the source of this 81-nucleotide non-coding RNA. The record is from the annotation of a GenBank genome assembly. NCBI's taxonomy places the organism in Eukaryota, Metazoa, Chordata, Lepidosauria, Squamata, Lacertidae.
UGCUAAACCAGUUUUGAGUCAUAUAUAUAUAUAUAUAUAUAUAUAUAUAUAUAUAUAUAUAUGGUUCACUGCUGUAGCAUC